AACAACUCCAGUAAAAAAGAAAUAAAGGUCACCACAAAAUUCUCUUUCUUAUUCUUUGUAUGAAUAUAUUUAUAUUAUAUCUUUAUACCCUCUUUCAUUCUUUCUGGUAAACACAUUUGCAGGAUAACCUUUUUUUGCAAUCACUUUUGCGUUUUGCGGAACAAAGAUAAUUUAUAUCAAAACUUAUUUACCCUAUUCCAUUACUUAAAUGUUCCACAAUUUUCUUUUUACAAAAUUUUAACAUCAACCACAACUAAAAUUUAUUUAUUCUUAAAUAGUUCUUUUGUAGGGAAAUCAAUUCUCUUUUGAAGCUUGCUUUUGACUUGUUGUCUUGCAACUAUAUGUUCCAACAACAUAUACAUCCAUCAAACAAAGCAAUGAUUGUGUGAAAGGAGCUUCAAACAACUGUGUUGGCUGAGAUCGAAGAGGGGCGAUGUUCCCUAUUUCUUUAGGGAUUUAGUAUGUCAAUUCGUCCUCUAUGAAAUUCCAAUCAGGGUUGGUCUCAUAAGCGUAAUUGAAGGAGAAUCUUACCAUAGCUUAUAGAUGAGAGAAGAAAAAGAGCAGGUCAAGGAUCUCGAGUUCUCAUUUGUGCCCAUAGAGCGCUCUUAAGCAGAAGAUUGGAAUUGGGCGACAAGUUUAGUCUACCACAACAUUCUGUUAUGUCAUUUAGUCACUCAAAAGAAAUUGUCCCUAAAAGUAUCUUUGACUUGGUGAAUGUUGCAGCACUUACAAUAGAGGAUGUCGCAAGUAAUCUCCAGUUUGUCAAUUAUUGAAGUGAAGAAUGGAAACAGAAAGUGAUGUUAAUGCUCCUAGUGGAACUGCAACUGUUGGCGCGACUGCUGGUAUUACUGUUGGUACUACUGUUGGCACUACUGUUGGGCCGACAAAUGUUGCAUCGUCAAGUCGUCCAACUGCUGCACACGCGAUGGCACCGGCAGAGAAACCAGGGAGGUUUUCUGGUAUCAACUUCAAAGGAUGGCAGCAAAGAAUGCUUUUCUGGCUGACUACUCUAGGCAUGCAGAAGUUCACAAAUGAAAAUCCUCCUGCUACUGAAGAGGGAAUGCCUGAAAACCCGCGCUUUAUGAUUAUUGAGGCUUGGAAGCAUGCAGAUUUUUUGUGCAAAGGAUACAUCCUUAGUGCACUAGAUGAUGAUCUGUAUAAUGUCUACAGUUCUGCCAAAACUUCAAAAGAAUUAUGGCUUGCACUCGAAAAGAAGUAUUAAACUGAAGAUGCAUGCUUGAAAAAAUUCGUGGUUGCCAAGUUUCUUGACUACAAGAUGACAGACAGUAAAACUGUUGGAACCCAAGUUCAAGAACUCCAAGUCCUUAUCCAUGACCUUAUUGCUGAAGGUAUGGUGAUCAACGAGGCAUUUCAUAUUUUUCAUAUGAAAAUGACAGAGGUUGUAGAUUUAGAGGUUCCUAUAGAAGAUAUUUCAAUAACAUCAACAAUUGUUGUAACUCAAGCACAUGGUAAUGCCCUAAUACUUCUUCCGCGGGUAAUCCUCCUAAAAAGCAGAAAAGAACAACUUCUUGUAGUCGAGACCCUAGCCUUGGGGAUAAUGAAAGAAAAACAUCUGAAAUUUGGAAUCAUUACACAAAGUUUUUUAAUAAAAUGGGAGAAUUGAGGGCAAAAUGCAAGUACUGCCCCAAAGUUUCGGAUCAUUACACAAAGUUUUUUUUAUUUCAUAUAUUUUCAUUUUAAUUUUAAUUUUAGGUAGUCUUUAUGUUUAAUUAAUAUGUAUGUUUGUAACAACAACUAAAAGCUCCUAUGCUCUACUUUAUUUCCAGGCAUGUGUAUUAAGAUGAUAAAAA
RNA transcript from Lycium barbarum (goji berry), 1811 nucleotides. RefSeq lists it as uncharacterized. The record is from RefSeq and is a predicted model, not a curated record. The transcript has 7 exons. Lineage: Eukaryota; Viridiplantae; Streptophyta; Magnoliopsida; Solanales; Solanaceae.